Molecule: ribosomal RNA, 301 nt
Filed under: uncultured bacterium
Lineage: Bacteria
Description: partial 16S ribosomal RNA
Rfam family: Bacterial small subunit ribosomal RNA
Source: RNAcentral
CAGCAGCCGCGGUAAUACGUAGGUGGCAAGCGUUGUCCGGAAUUAUUGGGCGUAAAGGGCUCGCAGGCGGUUUCUUAAGUCUGAUGUGAAAGCCCCCGGCUCAACCGGGGAGGGUCAUUGGAAACUGGGAAACUUGAGUGCAGAAGAGGAGAGUGGAAUUCCACGUGUAGUGGUGAAAUGCGUAGAGAUGUGGAGGAACACCAGUGGCGAAGGCGACUCUCUGGUCUGUAGCUGACGCUGAGGAGCGAAAGCGUGGGGAGCGAACAGGAUUAGAUACCCGAGUAGUCCCUGUCUCUUAUAC